Molecule: long non-coding RNA, 450 nt
Organism: Macrobrachium nipponense
Lineage: Eukaryota; Metazoa; Arthropoda; Malacostraca; Decapoda; Palaemonidae
Exons: 3
Source: RefSeq, a predicted model, not a curated record
CUCUCUCUCACUGCGAGUGUGUUCUGGUCCAAACGGUGUCCCAGUGCUUUGUGACGCAUUUCAUUUCCGGAUUUUUUUGCCUUGUAGUGCAUCCACGCAACUCCAUUGCCAUAAGCAAAAGAAGUACCAGCCUUAUGGGGGAGAAAUUUCAAUGAUUGUGUGUCGGAAGCGGGAGCGAGUAACAAGAGCGGUACCCAAGCAAAUUGGAAAUUAGACCUAGCCUACAGCAACAAUGACAGAACUCUCAGGUGUAGAGUCCAAGUACUGACCUCAGGACCAAUAUCCAAACUACCUCGUCGUUGAUAGACGACGAAGCACUGAUUCCAGAUAGACGACGAAGCACUGAAAAUUGCAAAUCGACAUUUUCAAUUUAUAUACAACGAUCUGUGGGAUAUAAAACAUUUCAUGCAUAGAACAUGAAGUAAGAUCAGUACGAAAAAUUCCUCUCGA